This 434-nucleotide ribosomal RNA is filed under the name uncultured bacterium. Its description in RNAcentral is "partial 16S ribosomal RNA". It matches the Rfam family "Bacterial small subunit ribosomal RNA", at positions 29 to 507 of the family's 1533-position model. The record is from RNAcentral.
AGCGAACGCUGGCGGCAGGCCUAACACAUGCAAGUCGAACGAACCUUUCGGGGUUAGUGGCGGACGGGUGAGUAACACGUGGGAACGUGCCUUUAGGUUCGGAAUAACUCAGGGAAACUUGUGCUAAUACCGAAUGUGCCCUUCGGGGGAAAGAUUUAUCGCCUUUAGACCGGCCCGCGUCUGUUUAGCUAGUUGGUUGAGGUAAUGCCUCACCAAGGCGACGAUCAGUAGCUGGUCUGAGAGGAUGAUCAGCCACAUUGGGACUGAGACACGGCCCAAACUCCUACGGGAGGCAGCAGUGGGGAAUCUUGCGCAAUGGGCGAAAGACUGACGCAGCCAUGCCGCGUGAAUGAUGAAGGUCUUAGGAUUGUAAAAUUCUUUCACCGGGGACGAUAAUGACGGUACCCGGAGAAGAAGCCCCGGCUAACUUCGUG